AGCAGUCAAGUUGUGUUUGAAAUUUGAUUUUUUUCAGAGGCAAAAGAAAGCCUCUGCAUUCUUGUCAAAUAUGUAAAUAGCAUGUGUUUGCAGGUGCUAAAAAACAGACUCUGAGUGUGUGUGCGUGUGUGUGUGUAUGUCUGUGUGUGUGUGUAUCCUGCAGUACUCUGAGAAGAAUAAUAAGCAUAUUUCUGAGGUGAAUUUUGAAGAUUCAUCUGAGAGUUAGGUUUGAUUCGAUUCGAUUGAAGCUCCCCAGCGUUCAAGUCACAUGACAUAUUUAACCGGAUGUAGCUGCAAGACGGAGCCUCGUUGAUUCUCCGUUUCAACCUAUCUUAAAAGUGAGGACCUCAAACUAUAUACCAGUUUUUAAAUUGUGUUGAUAGGCCAAAUAAAACCAGAGUUAUGAUAAAUUAUGUCCGCAAUACUUUUUUUCUGCUUAUUUUGAUCACGUUCGGCGCUCGAUCGCGCUGUAUGAGACAGGAAAACAUAGCAUGCAGACAUUAGCGACAGGUCUUACAGGCGGAAAAGACUUGCCAAAAGAAAAGAAAAAAACACACCACAACAUCUCUCCUAUUGGUGGAAAACUUCACCACAACAACCAAUCCAAAAUUAUAUGGUGACUGAUUGACACGGGAUGGGCGCUCGCGUUCUUCCUGCAACUUGAGAAGGGAGGGAGGGACUCUCAGCAGGGAUGCAGUCUGGGACACGUAGUUUCAAACCUAGCGACUUUGUUGUUAGAUUCAAUGACUUUUCAGACCCCCUAAUGACUUUUUUUUAGAAAGAAAGGGACUUUUAUCGACUUCUUCUGGAUUUCUGGAGUUUAGAGACUCUGACAUGAAGCAGGCUUUCCUUAUUGAGGAGUUAGCAACGCUGCUAAGGGUGCAGAGCCACACAUGCGCUCCGAGCUCUGCAUGGGAGACUGAAGCUGACAGAGCUGCAGCAGUUAGCAGGUUUCACCCUCAGAGACCACCAGGGGUUCAUGUUGAGGCAUUUUCAGUUUUUUUUUUUUUUUUUUUGCCAUAGACACUGUCAGCACAAUCUGCAGUUACACUAACAAAAAUGCUGCAAAAAACAAAGAAUUAUGGAAAAAUUACACAUGGACUAACAUAGAGGAGGAUCUACACAAGUUUUUUACAUCAUGUUUUACAUCAUGCAUCAUUUACAUCAUGUUUUUUUGUAGUGGCAUAAAUAAAAAGUGAGAUUUGUGAGACUAUACAGUGUUUUGUAAAUAAUUUUACAAAGAACGCCUGGGCCAUUGCCUGCAUUUUGAUGUAAAUAGAGGUAAAUUACUAUGUUCUUUGUUAAAAAUUUGCAUAUGUUUUGAAGUUUACAAUUUUUAUUUGAAGUUUAAGUUUUAAAAACAGUUCAUCACACAUAUUUGUGGUUUUCACAGUAAAAACGUUACUUUUUUCCACUCGGAUUUUAUGUUUUGUGUGUGAAUUUGGGUCCAAUGUUUAAAUAUAGUAUGUCAAAAUGAUAAAAUAACUGUAAAUUGACACAGGUGAGGUUGUGCUGAAAAAAAUGAUACCAGGCAAGGCAAGGUAAAAAUUUUGUAAGAGGAAAUAUAAAGGUAAAAUCUAAAGUAGUCAAAAACGGCCAAUAGUGACUCACAGACUCCACAGACAAGUCCCUUUGGCGCCACUCAGUGGGCAAAACUACUUUGUCUACUGUAAUGUAUAUUUGGGUCAUCUUUGGCGCCCCCUAAAACGUAAACCGUGGGGUGCAGCGUCAUGAUUUUUACAACUUUGAAUGGCCAUGGAGUGUAGAUUGGCCUGAGCAAAUUUGGUGUCAGUGGGACGAAAGCCUUAGGAGGACUUAGCGAAAUUCCAAUGUGUGCGAAUCGCCAAAAAAUGCAAAAUAGCCCUUUAACUGUACAUUUUACACUUACGUGCCCAUUGACUUUUUCAUAGAUCUUAUUGAGAUACACGUGAUUGUCAAAUUUUUUGUCAAUAUGACAAAGCGUAAAGGCGUGACACUCAACAAUGUGUAUUUUCACCUUUCGGGAUAAGAAAAAAUGGACUUUUUUCUCCUGCCAUGGGGGGGCGCUCUUUUGGGGAGUAAAAAUUUCUUCACAAAUGUGUUGAUGGCUGGACAUUGCAUCAUCCUAGAAAACUUGGAGGCCAGUAUGGAAAAAAGUAAAAAGUUAUAAGACUUCUCAGAAUGUGGAUUUUUGGGUUAUAUUUGGCGCCCCCUAGAACGUAAACCGUGGGGUGCAGCAAGAUGAUUUGUACAACUUUUAAUGGCCAUGGGGUGUAGAUUGGCCUGAGCAAAUUUGGUGCCGGUGGAAACAUAGCCUUUCGGAGGAGUUAGCGAAAUUCCAAUGUGUGCGGAUCGGCAAAAAAUGCAAAAUAGCCCUUUAACCGUACAUUUGACAGAUACAUGCCCUCUGACUUUUUCGUAGAUCUUAUUGAGAUACACGUGAUUGUCAAAUUUUGUGUCAAUAUGACAAAGCAUACAGGCGUGACACUCGACAAUGUGUAUUUUCACCUUAGGAGACAAGAAAAAAUGGUCCUUUUUCUCCUGCCAUUGGGGGGCGCUCUUUUGGGGAGUAAAAAUUCCUUCACAAAUGUGUUGAUGGCUGGACAUUGCAUCAUCCUAGAAAACUUGGAGGCCAGUGAGGACAAAAGUAAAAAGUUAUAAGACUUUUAAGAAUGUGGAUUUUUGGGUUAGCUUUGGCGCCCCCUAGAACGUAAACCGUGGGGUGCAGCGUCAUGAUUUGUACAACUUUUAAUGGCCAUGGGGGGUAGAUUGGCCUGCGCAAAUGUGGUGCCGGUCGAACGAAAGCCUUCGGAGGAGUUAGCGAAAUUCCAAUGUGUGCAGAUCUGCAAAAAAUGCAAAAUAACCCAUUAACCGUACAUUUGACAGAUACGCCCGCACUGACUUUUUUGUAGAUCUUAUUGAGAUACAUGUGUGUGUCAAUUUUUGUGUCAAUAUGACAAAGCGUACAGCCGUCAUGUGAAUUUUCACCUUAGGGGGCGCUAUGGAGCCAUUUUGCAUUUUAUUGUUUGGGCGACUUCAGAAUAUCGAAUUUUUCACCAGGCCCGGACGUCCUGCCAAAUUUCCUGAGUUUUCGCCAGUGGGAAGUGGGCCAUUUUCCAGUUUGAAGCGGAGGAAAAAUAAUAACGAAAGAAGGAAACAUGCAGGAACAAGAGGGCUCUCGCAGCUGCUUAGCAGCUACGCUCGGGCCCUAACUAGGGCCCCGUUGGGGCACUGGCGGGCCCGAGCCGUGUCACGCCGCCCCCAGCGCGACCGCCUCCCCCACCUGAUCGCGUCACACUCAAGGUCCAAAGAUGGUGUGCGCACUUGUUUGUGGUCAUUUACCAUUAUAAUGAACGGGAGGCGCAGUUUCUACCAAAACGCUCGCUGCAGAAAAACUCCAUGUCCUAUUUGAAAAAAGUCUGGACCAUGAGUGAGGGCACAAACACAGCUAAGAUAUAUCCAAAUGGCAAGUUGCUCCUCCUUUCGCUUUUGCCGAGAGAGCAGUGCGUUUGAGCCAUUGAAUGAUGAACAGGAAAAACUUGACUUUAUUCUCCUGCCAUGGGGGGGCGCUCUUUUAAAAAGAAAAAACUCCUUCACAAAUGUGUUGAUGGCUGGACAUUGCAUCAUCCUAGAAAACAUGGAGGCCAGUGAGGACAAAAAUAAAAAGUUAUAAGACUUUUAAAUAUGUGGAUUUUAGGGUUAUCUUUGGCGCCCCCUAGAACCUAAACCGUGGGGUGCAGCGUCAUGAUUUGAAUAACUUUUAAUGGCCAUGGGGUGUAGAUUGGCCUGAGCAAAUGUGGUGCCGGUGGAACGAAAGCCUUCGGAGGAAUUAGCGAAAUUCCAAUGUGUGCGAAUCUGCAAAAAAUGCGGAAUAACCCUUUAACCGUACAUUUUACAGAUACGUGGCCAUUGACUUUUUCGAAGAUCUUAUGUAAAUACACGUGUAUGUAAAAUUUUGUGUCAAUACGACAAAACAUACAGGCGUAGCACUCAACAAUGUGUAUUUUCACCUUACGGGACAAGAAAAAAUUGACUUUUUUCUCCUGCCAUGGGGGGGCGCUCUUUUGCCGAGUAAAAAUUCCUUCACAAAUGUGUUGAUGGCUGGACAUUGCAUCAUCCUAGAAAACUUGGAGGCCAGUGGGGACAAAAAUAAAAAGUUCUAAGACUUUUAAAUAUGUGGAUUUUACGGUUAUCUUUGGCUCCCCCUAGAACCUAAACCGUGGGGUGCAGCGUCAUGAUUUGAAUAACUUUUAAUGGCCAUGGGGUAUAGAUUGGCCUGAGCAAAUGUGGUGCCGGUGGAACGAAAGCCUUCGGAGGAGUUAGCAAAAUUCCAAUGUGUGCGGAUCGGCAAAAAAUGCGGAAUAACCCUUUAACCGUACAUUUGACAGAUACGCGCGCAUUGACUUUUUCGUAGAUCUUAUUGAGAUACAUGUGUGUGUCAAUUUUUGUGUCAUUUUGCCAAAGCGUACAGGUGUUACACUCAACAAUGUGUAUUUUCACCUUAGGGGACAAGAAAAAAUGGACUUUUUUCUCCUGCCAUGGGGGGGCGCUCUUUUGGGGAGUAAAAAUUCCUUCACAAAUGUGUUGAUGGCUGGACAUUGCAUCAUCCUAGAAAACUUGGAGGCCAGUGAGGGCAAAAAUAAAAAGUUAUAAGACUUUUAAAUAUGUGGAUCUUAGGGUUAUCUUUGGCGCCCCCUAGAACCUAAACCGUGGGGUGCAGCGUCAUGAUUUGAAUAACUUUUAAUGGCCAUGGGGUGUAGAUUGGCCUGAGCAAAUGUGGUGCCGGUGGAACGAAAGCCUUCGGAGGAGUUAGCGAAAUUCCAAUGUGUGCGGAUCGGCAAAAAAUGCGAAAUAACCCUUUAAACGUACAUUUGACAGAUACGCCCGCACUGACUUUUUUGUAGAUCUUAUUGAGAUACAUGUGUGUGUCAAUUUUUGUGUCAUUUUGACAAAGCGUACCGGCGUGACAGUGAAUAGUGUUAAUUUUCACCUUAGGGGGCGCUAUGGAGCCAUUUUGCAUUUUCUUGUUUGGGCGACUUCGGAAUAUCAAAUUUUUCACCAGGCCCGGUCGUCCUGCCAAAUUUCAUGAGUUUUCGCCAGUGGGAAGUGGGCCAUUUUCCAGUUCAAAGGGGAGGAAAAAUAAUAACUAGGACCCCGUUGGGGCACUGGCGGGCCCGAGCCGUGUCGCGUCCCCCCCCAACGUGCUGCCUCCCCGUCCCAUUUGUGUCCUCUGGCCAUCGCCCUCUCUGGUAACGCCCAUCACUGCAAAGACCCUUUUCCUUCAUCGGCGUUUGCUGUUCUUCCUGCCAGUGCGUGUUGCUUUCACUUACACUUGCCACAGCCAGCCUCGUGAGUGCCUAGCCUAUUGGAUAUCACUGUCACCUACACAGGACAGUCAUUACCUUUCUAUUAAUACUUUGUGUUUUAAUUUCACAUUAAUUUCCAUAUUGUAUAAACGACUGGAAAAAACUUGAGCCCCUGCCCCUGUAUAAUCAUGUGCAUGUCUCUGUUCUAGCUCCAAGGUGAAUCUUCACUGCUCAUGUUCUCCUCAGAAGCACUCACCUCACUCCCCUCAGGUUACUGUACACAUGCACCAACUGCCUGCUUCAGGUUUGGAUGGAGCUUCAUGGUUGUCUUUUGGAGAAAUGACCAGUCAAGUUGUGUUUGAAAUUUGAUUUUUUUCAGGGGCAAAAGGAGCCUCUGCAUUCUUGUCAAAUAUGUAAAUAGCAUGUUUUUGCAGGUGCUAAAAACCAGACUCUGAGUGUGUGUGUGUGUGUGUGUGUGUGCGUGUGUGUGUCUGUGUGUGCGUUCAAGUCACAUGACAUAUUUAACCGGAUGUAGCUGCAAGACGGAGCCUCGUUGACUCUCCGUUUCAACUUAUCUCAAAAGUGAGGACCUCAACCUAUAUACCAGUUUUUAAAUUGUGUUGGUAGGCCAAAUAAAACCAGAGUUAUGAUAAAUUAUGUCCGCGAUACCUUUUUUCUGCUUAUUUUGAUCACGUUCGGCGCUCAAUCGCGCUGUAUGAGACAGGAAAACAUAGCAUGCAGACAUUAGCGACAGCUCUUACAGGCGGAAAAGGCUUGCCAAAAAAAAAAAAACACACCACAACAUCUCUCCUAUUGGUGGAAAACUUCACCACAACAACCAAUCCAAAAUUAUAUGGUGACUGAUUGACAAGGGGCGGGCGCUUACGUUCUUCCUGCAACAUGAGAAGGGAGGGAGGGACUCUCAGCAGGGAUGCAGUCUGGGACACGUAGUUGCAAACCUAGCGACUUUGUUGUUAGAUUCAAUGACUUUUCAGACCCCCUAACGACUUUUUUUUAGAAAGAAAGGGACUUUUAUCGACUUCUUCUGGAGUUUAGAGACUCUGACAUGAAGCAGGCUUUCCUUACUGAGGAGUUAGCAACGCUGCUAAGGGUGCAGAGCCACACAUGCGCUCAGAGCUCUGCAUGGGAGACUGAAGCUGACAGAGCUGCAGCAGUUAGCAGGUUUCACCCUCAGAGACCACCAGGGGUUCAUGUUGAGGCAUUUUAAUUUUUUUUUUUUUUGUGCCAUAGACACUGUCAGCACAAUCUGCAGUUACACUAACAAAAAUGCUGCAAAAAACAAAGAAUUAUGGAAAAAUUACACAUGGACUGACAUACAGGAGGAUCUACACAAGUUUUUUACAUCAUGUUUUACAUCAUGCAUCAUUUACAUCAUGUUUUUUUGUAGUGGCAUAAAUAAAAAGUGACAUUUGUGAGACUAUACAGUGUUUUGUAAAUAAUUUUACAAAGAACGCCUGGGCCAUUGCCUGCAUUUUGAUGUAAAUAGAGGUAAAUCACUAUGUUCUUUGUUAAAAAUUUGCAUAUGUUUUGAAGUUUACAAUUUUUAUUUGAAGUUUAAGUUUUAAAAACAGUUCAUCACACAUAUUUGUGGUUUAAUUUCACAUUAAUUUCCAUAUUGUAUAAACGACUGGAAAAAACUUGAGCCCCUGCCCCUGUAUAAUCAUGUGCACGUCCCUGUUCUAGCUCCAAGGUGAAUCUUCACUGCUCAUGUUCUCCUCAGAAAUAGUCACCUCACUCCCCUCAGGUUACUGUACACAUGCACCAACUAUCUGCUUCAGGUUUGAAAUGGAGCUUCAUGGUUGUCUUUUGGAGAAAUGAACAGUCAAGUUGUGUUUGAAAUUUGAUUUUUUUCAGGGGCAAAAGGAAGCCUCUGCAUUCUUGUCAAAUAUGUAAACAGCAUGUUUUUGCAGGUGCUAAAAAACAGACUCUGAGUGUGUGUGUGUGUGUGUGUGUGUGUGUGUGUGUGUGUAUGUUGGCGUGUGUGUAUAUGUGUGUGUAUCCUGCAGUACUCUGUACUCCUGCAGUGGCCAAAAAGACUUUUAAGAAUGUGGAUUUUUGGGUCAUCUUUGGCGCCCCCUAGAACUGCAGUACUCUGUACUCCUGCAGUGGCCAAAAUGACUUUUAAGAAUGUGGAUUUUUGGGUCAUCUUUGGCGCCCCCUAGAACGUAAACCGUGGGGUGCAGCGUCAUGAUUUUUACAACUUUGAAUGGGGGGGCGCUCUUUUGGGGAGUAAAAAUUCCUUCACAAAUGUGUUGAUGGCUGGACAUUGCAUCAUCCUAGAAAACUUGGAGGCCAGUGAGGACAAAAAUAAAAAGUUAUAAAACAUUUAAGAAUGUGGAUUUUUGGGUUAUUUUUGGCGCCCCCUAGAACCUAAACCAUGGGGUGCAGCAUCAUGAUUUGAAUAACUUUUAAUGGCCAUGGGGUGUAGAUUGGCCUGAGCAAAUAUGGUGCCGGUGGAACGAAAGCCUUCGGAGGAGUUAGCGAAAUUCCAAUGUGUGCGUAUCGGCAAAAAAUGCGGAAUAACCCUUUAACUAUACAUUUGACAGAUACGCGCGCAUGGACUUUUUUGUAGAUCUUAUUGAGUUACAUGUGUGUGUCAAUUUUUGUGUCAUUUUGACAAAGCGUAUAGGCGUGACACUCAACAAUGUGUAUUUUCACCUUAGGGGACAAGAAAAAAUGGACUUUUUUCUCCUGCCAUGGGGGGGCGCUCUUUUGGGGAGUAAAAAUUCCUUCACAAAUGUGUUGAUGGCUGGACAUUGCAUCAUCCUAGAAAACUUGGAGGCCAGUGAGGACAAAAAUAAAAAGUUAUAAGACUUUUAAAUAUGUGGAUUUUAGUGUUAUCUUUGGCGCCCCCUAGAACCUAAACCUUGGGGUGCAGCGUCAUGAUUUUGAUAACUUUUAAUGGCCACGGGGUGUAGAUUGGCCUGAGCAAAUGUGGUGCCGGUGGAACGAAAGCCUUCGGAGGAGUUAGCGAAAUUCCAAUGUGUGCGGAUCGGAAAAAAAUGCGAAAUAACCCUUUAACCGUACAUUUGACAGAUACAGCCGCACUGACUUUUUUGUAGAUCUUAUUGAGAUACAUAUGUGUGUCAAUUUUUGUGUCAAUAUGACAAAGCGUACAGGCGUGACAGUCAAUAGUGUGAAUUUCUACCUUAGGGGGCGCUAUGGAGCCAUUUUGCAUUUUAUUGUUUGGGCGACUUCAGAAUAUCAAAUUUUUCACCAGGCCCGGUCGUCCUGCCAAAUUUCAUGAGUUUUCGCCAGUGGGAAGUGGGCCAUUUUCCAGUUCAAAGGGGAGGAAAAAGAAAAAAGAAAGAAAGAAACAAAGAAAAACCACUUGGGGAAUAAUAGGGCCUACGCCCGGCUGCUCUGCAGCUGGCUCGGGCCCUAAGAAAGAAAGAAACAAAGACUAGGACCCCGUUGGGGCACUGGCGGGCCCGAGCCGUGUCGCGUCCCCCCCCCCCCAACGUGCUGCCUCCCCGUCCCAUUUGUGUCCUCUGGCCAUCGCCCUCUCUGGUAACGCCCAUCACUGCAAAGACCCUUUUCCUUCAUCGGCGUUUGCUGUUCUUCCUGCCAGUGCGUGUUGCUUUCACUUACACUUGCCACAGCCAGCCUCGUGAGUGCCUAGCCUAUUGGAUAUCACUGUCACCUACACAGGACAGUCAUUACCUUUCUAUUAAUACUUUGUGUUUUAAUUUCACAUUAAUUUCCAUAUUGUAUAAACGACUGGAAAAAACUUGAGCCCCUGCCCCUGUAUAAUCAUGUGCAUGUCUCUGUUCUAGCUCCAAGGUGAAUCUUCACUGCUCAUGUUCUCCUCAGAAGCACUCACCUCACUCCCCUCAGGUUACUGUACACAUGCACCAACUGCCUGCUUCAGGUUUGGAUGGAGCUUCAUGGUUGUCUUUUGGAGAAAUGACCAGUCAAGUUGUGUUUGAAAUUUGAUUUUUUUCAGGGGCAAAAGGAGCCUCUGCAUUCUUGUCAAAUAUGUAAAUAGCAUGUUUUUGCAGGUGCUAAAAACCAGACUCUGAGUGUGUGUGUGUGUGUGUGUGUGUGUGUGUGUGUGUGUGUGCGUGUGUGUGUUAUUGUGUGUGCGUUCAAGUCACAUGACAUAUUUAACCGGAUGUAGCUGCAAGACGGAGCCUCGUUGACUCUCCGUUUCAACUUAUCUCAAAAGUGAGGACCUCAACCUAUAUACCAGUUUUUAAAUUGUGUUGAUAGGCCAAAUGAAACCAGAGUUAUGAUAAAUUAUGUCCGCGAUACUUUUUUUCUGCUUAUUUUGAUCACGUUCGGCGCUCGAUCGCGCUGUAUGAGACAGGAAAACAUAGCAUGCAGACAUUAGCGACAGGUCUUACAGGCGGAAAAGGCUUGCCAAAAGAAAAAAAAAACACACCACAACAUCUCUCCUAUUGGUGGAAAACUUCACCACAACAACCAAUCCAAAAUUAUAUGGUGACUGAUUGACAAGGGGCGGGCGCUUACGUUCUUCCUGCAACAUGAGAAGCGAGGGAGGGACUCUCAGCAGGGAUGCAGUCUGGGACACGUAGUUGCAAACCUAGCGACUUUGUUGUUAGAUUCAAUGACUUUUCAGACCCCCUAACGACUUUUUUUUAGAAAGAAAGGGACUUUUAUCGACUUCUUCUGGAGUUUAGAGACUCUGACAUGAAGCAGGCUUUCCUUACUGAGGAGUUAGCAACGCUGCUAAGGGUGCAGAGCCACACAUGCGCUCAGAGCUCUGCAUGGGAGACUGAAGCUGACAGAGCUGCAGCAGUUAGCAGGUUUCACCCUCAGAGACCACCAGGGGUUCAUGUUGAGGCAUUUUAAAUUUUUUUUUUUUGUGCCAUAGACACUGUCAGCACAAUCUGCAGUUACACUAACAAAAAUGCCGCAAAAAACAAAGAAUUAUGGAAAAAUUACACAUGGACUGACAUAGAGGAGGAUCUACACAAGUUUUUUACAUCAUGUUUUACAUCAUGCAUCAUUUACAUCAUGUUUUUUUGUAGUGGCAUAAAUAAAAAGUGACAUUUGUGAGACUAUACAGUGUUUUGUAAAUAAUUUUACAAAGAACGCCUGGGCCAUUGCCUGCAUUUUGAUGUAAAUAGAGGUAAAUCACUAUGUUCUUUGUUAAAAAUUUGCAUAUGUUUUGAAGUUUACAAUUUUUAUUUGAAGUUUAAGUUUUAAAAACAGUUCAUCACACAUAUUUGUGGUUUUCACAGUAAAAAUGUUACUUUUUUCCACUCGGAUUUUAUGUUUUAUGUGUGAAUUUGGGUCCAUUGUGUAAAUUCAGUAUGUCAACAUGAUAAAAUAACUGUAAAUUCGCACAGGUGAGGUUGUGCUGAAAAAAAUGAUACCAGGCAAGGCACGUGAUUGUCAAAUUUUGUGUCAAUAUGACAAAGCGUAUAGGCGUGAAUCUCAACAAUAUGUAUUUUCACCUUAGGGGACAAGAAAAAAUGGACUUUUUUCUCCUGCCAUGGGGGGCGCUCUUUUGGGGAGUAAAAAUUCCUUCACAAAUGUGUUGAUGGCUGGACAUUGCAUCAUCCUAGAAAACUUGGAGGCCAGUGAGGACAAAAAUAAAAAGUUAUAAGACUUUGAAAUAUGUGGAUUUUAGGGUUAUCUUUGGCGCCCCCUAGAACCUAAACCGUGGGGUGCAGCGUCAUGAUUUGAAUAACUUUUAAUGGCCAUGGGGUGUAGAUUGGCCUGAGCAAAUGUGGUGCCGGUGGAACGAAAGCCUUAGGAGGAGUUAGCCACAUUCCAAUGUGUGCGGAUCGGCAAAAAAUGCGGAAUAACCCUUUAACCGUACAUUUGACAGAUACGCGCGCAUUGACUUUUUCGUAGAUCUUAUUGAGUUACAUGUGUGUGUCAAUUUUUGUGUCAUUUUGACAAAGCGUAUAGGCGUGACACUCAACAGUGUGAAUUUCCACCUUAGGGGGCGCUAUGGAGCCAUUUUGCAUUUUCUUGUUUGGGCGACUUCGGAAUAUCAAAUUUUUCACCAGGCCCGGUCAUCCUGCCAAAUUUCAUGAGUUUUCGCCAGUGGGAAGUGGGCCAUUUUCCAGUUCAAAGGGGAGGAAAAAGAAGAAACUAGGGCCCCGGUGGGGCACUGUCGGGCCCGAGCCGCGUCGUGCCGCCCCCAGUGUGACCGCCUCCCCCUCCCGAUCGCGUCACACUCAAGGUCCAAAGAUGGUGUGCGCACUUGUCUGUGGUCAUUUCCCAUUAUAAUGAAUGGGAGGCGCAGUUUCUACCAAAACACUCGCUGCAGACAAACUUCAUGUCCUAUUUGAAAAAAGUCUGGACCAUGAGUGAGGGCACAAACACAGCUGGGAUAUAUCCAAAUGGCAGGUUGCUCCUCGUUACGGUGUUGCCUGGAGAGCGAUGCGAUUGAGCCAUUGAGCGAUGGGCAGGAAAAACUUGACUUUUUCUCCUGCCAUGGGGGGGGGAGAAUGUGGAUUCUUUUAAGAAUGUGGAUUUUUUGGUCAUCUUUGGCGCCCCCUAGAACGUAAACCGUGGGGUGCAGCGUCAUGAUUUUUACAACUUUGAAUGGCCAUGGGGUGUAGAUUGGCCUGAGCAAAUUUGGUUUCAGUGGGACGAAAGCCUUAGGAGGAGUUAGCCACAUUCCAAUGUGUGCGAAUCGGCAAAAAAUGCAAAAUAGCCCUCUAACUGUACAUUUGACAGAUACGCACCCAUUGACUUUUUCGUAGAUCUUAUUGAGAUACACGUGAUUGUCAAAUUUUGUGUCAAUAUGACAAAGCGUACAGGUGUCACACUCAACAAUGUGAAUUUUCACCUUACGGGACAAGAAAAAAUUGACUUUUUUCUCCUGCCAUGGGGGGGCGCUCUUUUGGGGAGUAAAAAUUCCUUCACAAAUGUGUUGAUGGCUGGACAUUGCAUCAUCCUAGAAAACUUGGAGGCCAGUGAGGACAAAAAUAAAAAGUUAUAAGACUUUGAAAUAUGUGGAUUUUAGGGUUAUCUUUGGCGCCCCCUAGAACCUAAACCGUGGGGUGCAGCGUCAUGAUUUGAAUAACUUUUAAUGGCCAUGGGGUGUAGAUUGGCCUGAGCAAAUGUGGUGCCGGUGGAACGCCAGCCUUCGGAGGAGUUAGCGAAAUUCCAAUGUGUGCGGAUCAGCAAAAAAUGCGGAAUAACCCUUUAACCGUACAUUUGACAGAUACGCGCGCGUUGACUUUUUCGUAGAUCUUAUUGAGAUAAAUGUGUGUGUCAAAUUUUGUGUCAAUAUGACAAAGCGUACAGGCGUGACACUCAACAAUGUGUAUUUUCACCUUAGGGGACAAGAAAAAAUGGACUUUUUUCUCCUGCCAUGGGGGGCGCUCUUUUGGGGAGUAAAAAUUCCUUCACAAAUGUGUUGAUGGCUGGACAUUGCAUCAUCCUAGAAAACUUGGAGGCCAGUGAGGCAAAAAUAAAAAGUUAUAAGACUUUUAAAUAUGUGGAUUUUAGGGUUAUCUUUGGCGCCCCCUAGAACCUAAACCUUGGGGUGCAGCGUCAUGAUUUGAAUAACUUUUAAUGGCCAUGGGGUGUAGAUUGGCCUGAGCAAAUGUGGUGCCGGUGGAACGAAAGCCUUCGGAGGAGUUAGCGAAAUUCCAAUGUGUGCGGAUCGGCAAAAAAUGCGAAAUAACCCUUUAACCGUACAUUUGACAGAUACGCCCGCACUGACUUUUUUGUAGAUCUUAUUGAGAUACAUGUGUGUGUCAAUUUUUGUGUCAUUUUGACAAAGCGUACAGGCGUGACAGUCAAUAGUGUGAAUUUUCACCUUAGGGGGCGCUAUGGAGCCAUUUUGCAUUUUAUUGUUUGGGCGACUUCAGAAUAUCAAAUUUUUCACCAGGCCCGGUCGUCCUGCCAAAUUUCAUGAGUUUUCGCCAGUGGGAAGUGGGCCAUUUUCCAGUUCAAAGGGGAGGAAAAAAAAAUAACUAGGGCCCCGUUGGGGCACUGGCGGGCCCGAGCCGUGUCGCGCCCCCCAACGCGCUGCCUCCCCGUCCCAUUCGCGUCCUCUGGCCAUCGCCCUCUCUGGUAACGCCCAUCACUGCAAAGACCCUUUUCCUUCAUUGGCGUUUGCUGUUCUUCCUGCCAGUGCGUGUUGCUUUCACUUACACUUGCCACAGCCAGCCUCGUGAGUGCCUAGCCUAUUGGAUAUCACUGUCACCUACACAGGACAGUCAUUACCUUUCUAUUAAUACUUUGUUUUUUAAUUUCACAUUAAUUUCCAUAUUGUAUAAACGACUGGAAAAAACUUGAGCCCCUGCCCCUGUAUAAUCAUGUGCACGUCCCUGUUCUAGCUCCAAGGUGAAUCUUCACUGCUCAUGUUCUCCUCAGAAGCAGUCACCUCACUCCCCUCAGGUUACUGUACACAUGCACCAACUGCCUGCUUCAGGUUUGGAUGGAGCUUCAUGGUUGUCUUUUGGAGAAAUGAGCAGUCAAGUUGUGUUUGAAAUUUGAUUUUUUUCAGAGGCAAAAGAAAGCCUCUGCAUUCUUGUCAAAUAUGUAAAUAGCAUGUGUUUGCAGGUGCUAAAAAACAGACUCUGAGUGUGUGUGCGUGUGUGUGUGUAUGUCUGUGUGUGUGUGUAUCCCGCAGUACUCUGAGAAGAAUAAUAAGCAUAUUUCUGAGGUGAAUUUUGAAGAUUCAUCUGAGAGUUAGGUUUGAUUCGAUUCGAUUGACGCUCCCCAGCGUUCAAGUCACAUGACAUAUUUAACCGGAUGUAGCUGCAAGACGGAGCCUCGUUGAUUCUCCGUUUCAACCUAUCUUAAAAGUGAGGACCUCAAACUAUAUACCAGUUUUUAAAUUGUGUUGAUAGGCCAAAUAAAACCAGAGUUAUGAUAAAUUAUGUCCGCAAUACUUUUUUUCUGCUUAUUUUG
This is a non-coding RNA of Xyrichtys novacula (pearly razorfish), 14156 nucleotides long. The record is from the annotation of a GenBank genome assembly. NCBI's taxonomy places the organism in Eukaryota, Metazoa, Chordata, Actinopteri, Labriformes, Labridae.